Molecule: ribosomal RNA, 382 nt
Filed under: uncultured eukaryote
Lineage: Eukaryota
Description: partial 18S ribosomal RNA
Rfam family: Eukaryotic small subunit ribosomal RNA
Source: RNAcentral
CAAUAGCGUAUAUUAAAGUUGUUGCAGUUAAAAAGCUCGUGGUUGGAUUUCUGGUUGAAGCGACCGGUCGGGCGUUGAUUCGUCUGCACUGGAGUCGGUUUUGGCCAUCCUCUAGGAAAGUGCGUCUGGUAUUAAGUUAUCGGGCGUAUGAUCCUGGUCUUUUACUGUGAAAAAAUUAGAGUGUUUAAAGCAGGCCUUCGCCUUGAAUACAUUAGCAUGGAAUAAUAAGAUAGGACUUUGGUCUAUUUUGUUGGUUUGCAGACCGAAGUAAUGAUUAAUAGGGAUAGUUGGGGGUAUUUAUAUUCCGAUGUCAGAGGUGAAAUUCUUAGAUUUUCGGAAGAUAAACUUAUGCGAAAGCAUUUACCAAGGAUGUUUNCAUUAA